GACGAACGCUGGCGGCGUGCCUAAUACAUGCAAGUCGAACGGACAGGCCCUGCUUUUGCUGGGUGCUCGAUUGGCGAACGGGUGAGAAACACGGGAGUAACCUGCCCUUGACUGUGUGAUAACUUCAGGAAACUGGGGCUAAUACCGGAUAGGAGCUCCUGCUGCUUGUUGGUGGUUGGUAAGUUUCGGCGGUUGGGGAUGGACUCGCUGCUUAUCAGCCUGUUGGUGGGGUAGUGGCUUGCCAAGGUUUUGACGGGUAGCCGGCCUGAGAGGGUGACCGGCCACAUUGGGACUGAGGUACGGCCCAGACUGCUACGGGAGGCAGCGGUGGAAAAUAUUGCGCAAUGGGCGGAAGCCUGAUGCAGCGACGCCGGGUGCGGAAUGACGGCUUUCGGGUUAUAAACCGCUUUCGACUGUAACGAAGAGUGAGUGACGGUAAUGGAUAAGAAAGCACCGGCUAACUACGUG
Molecule: ribosomal RNA, 468 nt
Filed under: uncultured bacterium
Lineage: Bacteria
Description: partial 16S ribosomal RNA
Rfam family: Bacterial small subunit ribosomal RNA
Source: RNAcentral